CCCUAAAUCCUUUAACGAGGAUCUAUUGGAGGGCAAGUCUGGUGCCAGCAGCCGCGGUAAUUCCAGCUCCAAUAGCGUAUAUUAAAGUUGUUGCGGUUAAAAAGCUCGUAGUUGGUUCUGCGUGCCACGCUGUCGGUUCACCGCCUGCCGGUGCAACUGGCAUGCCGUGGCAUGUCCUGUCGGUGGCGGAUAGGCUUCGCGGCGUGCCCUAUGCGGUAUACCAGCGUGUAGGCUGCUGCGCCGCGUCGUCCUUGUACGCCGGCUCAAUCCUACCGCGGUGCUCUUUACCGAGUGUCGAGGUAGGCCGACACUGUUUACUUUGAACAAAUUAGAGUGCUUAAAGCAGGCUCUUAAAUCAGCCUGAAUAGUGGUGCAUGGAAUAAUGGAACAGGACCUUGGUUCUAUUUUGUUGGUUUUCGGAAUCCAAGGUAAUGAUCAAUAAGGACAGGCGGGGGCAUUCG
RNAcentral lists this ribosomal RNA (461 nucleotides) under Notobitus meleagris. RNAcentral's name for it is "SSU rRNA". It matches the Rfam family "Eukaryotic small subunit ribosomal RNA", at positions 523 to 894 of the family's 1831-position model. Lineage: Eukaryota; Metazoa; Arthropoda; Insecta; Hemiptera; Coreidae. The record is from RNAcentral.